Myotis lucifugus (little brown bat) is the source of this 77-nucleotide non-coding RNA. The record is from Rfam. Lineage: Eukaryota; Metazoa; Chordata; Mammalia; Chiroptera; Vespertilionidae.
CUCGGGGGGGGGGGGCAAUCCCUCAGCCUGAAUUGCGAGAGGGCGCAGGCCAGGCCGAGGGACCCCACUGGUGCACG